AUGGAGGAGCAGCUGCAGCAGAACAAUGUGAGUGAGGUGUGGAGGAGCCUGAAAACCAUCUCAGGCUUCAAAGCUCCACACCCACCGGCUGAGGGGGACCCGAGCUGGGUCAACGAGCUGAACUCAUACUUUAACAGGUUUGACCAAGCACCCACUCACACCUCCCAGCAGCUGCCUCCAAACCUUUUGUCACCUCAUACCACUGGAUUACCAGCCCCCACAGCCCUUCACACCUUUACACAAAGCCCUCUACCCUCAGCCCUGACGACUGGUGACUCAUCCCAACAACACCGCCUCACUUCACACAACACUGAGACACUGCCUCAACCCCUAUCCUUCUCCAGCACCCAGGUGAGAAGUGAGCUCAGGAAGAUCAAGGCCAGGAAAGCAGCUGGACCAGACGGCAUCAGCUCCAGACUCCUAAAGUCCUGCGCAGGCGAACUGUGCAGAGUUAUGGAGCAUGUCUUCAACCUGAGCCUCAAGCUGAGGGUGGUACCACAGCUCUGCAAGACCUCCUGCAUGGUACCAGAGCCCAAGACACCACACGCUAAAGACCCCAGCAGCUUCAGACCAGCGGCUCUGACAUCACACCUGAUGAAGACAUUGGAGAGACUGGUCCUGGGUCACCUCCGCUCUGCAGUGGGAACCUACCUGGACCCGCUGCAGUUCGCCUACCGACACGGCAUAAGAGCAGACGACGCCGUCAUCUUCCUCUUACAUCGAGCUCUUUCUCACCUAGAGAAGCCCGGCAGCACUGUGAGGAUCAUGUUCUUUGACUUCUCCAGUGCCUUCAACACCAUCCAGCCGGUGCUUCUGAAACACAAACUGGAGGAGGCUGGUGUUGACCUUCAUCUGACGGAGUGGAUUAUGGACUAUCUCAUAAACAGGCCUCAGUUUGUGAGAGCCAGGGACUGUGUGUCUGACACUCUGACCUGCAGUGCGGGGGCCCCACAGGGGACUGUACUGGCCCCCUUCCUCUUCACCCUCUACACGGCAGACUUCAGACACAACACGGACAGCUGUGUUCUGCAUGAAGUUCUCUGA
This 1044-nucleotide long non-coding RNA is filed under the name Betta splendens (Siamese fighting fish). RNAcentral describes it as "lncRNA (ENSBSLG00000013153.1)". Lineage: Eukaryota; Metazoa; Chordata; Actinopteri; Anabantiformes; Osphronemidae. The record is from RNAcentral.